UGAAUGCAAAGUAUUUGCAGCAGCAUCCUUUUGUUGUCAGUUCGAGUUUGCGAAGCAAGUAUCGAGAACCAACAAAAGAUAUAGCGUAAAGCCCGACCCUUG
RNAcentral lists this small RNA (102 nucleotides) under Tenacibaculum gallaicum. RNAcentral's name for it is "Flavo-1 RNA". Lineage: Bacteria; Pseudomonadati; Bacteroidota; Flavobacteriia; Flavobacteriales; Flavobacteriaceae. The record is from RNAcentral.